Oryza sativa Japonica Group (Japanese rice) is the source of this 2391-nucleotide non-coding RNA. The record is from RefSeq and is a predicted model, not a curated record. NCBI's taxonomy places the organism in Eukaryota, Viridiplantae, Streptophyta, Magnoliopsida, Poales, Poaceae.
AUGGGCACAGACGUGUGGGCCUAUAGUAGCGAACAAAAGCCCAGAAGGCCCACAGGUGGUUCAGGGCUCAGGUCGUCGUCGUCCUCCUCCUCCGAUCCCCUCGCCGGCAAACGGCGCGCCGCCGUUGGUCGCCGGCCGCCGCCGUCCGGCUCCUCUCCGAUCCAUUUUUGGGAGUUGAUUCGAUUUUGCCGCGUCGGAUUGCUCGCCGGCGUGAAAGCUUACUAGGGCAUCAUGGACGGUAUGCACGCGCUUGCCCUCUUGUAAUCCCCUUUCUCCUACUGCUCUCUGGUUAUUAUGUGUUAGUCUGGGGGGAGUAGAAAGAACAGUUUUUAUUAGUUAGGGGUAUAAUUUGUGUCUUAGCUGAUAGAAUGUGCAGUUGGUGAUUAGUGCGGACCUGGGUUGAUUGUAGUUGCAUGACAGGCAAUUUAGUGGUAAGCCGAGUUAAUUUUGGAUUUAACAACUGCAACUACAAGGAAAGAACUCUUUUUUUGCACUGAUAGGCGAUCUGAAUUAUAGUGAUGUGCAGUGUGAAAAUCACUUUGAAAUUCAUUAUUGUCAGCAUUGUCAUCCUGAGUAGAUUGCCAAUUAUAUGGGUUUGGAGGACAAUAAGGACUAAGCUCUCCAGUCCAUUUCUUGUCUUGAAAAAUGAACUCCAUAUCAUCCUACAGAAUAUGAUGGUAACUUUAAUAAAAUUUGUGUUGUUAUCUUUGUAUUGUAAGAAAGGAUGUAAUCAAAAUACGGUGAACAAAGCCCUUAUAGAGUCAGUCCGGACAUGUUCAGUAUUGCAGUCUCAUCGUAUAGUAUCUUUUUCUCAGGUGCCUCUUAAGUUUUUUCUCUCUAGUAUAAUCUUCCAUUGGGCUUUCAACUUCUGGAAGUUGUGCUGAUUUGCUGCACACAAUGAUACCCGAGAUUUGUUGAUUAGCUCAGUUGGUGUCUUUGCUCUAUUUCCCCUCCAUUCAUGUAAAUGAUAUCAAGUUUGGUGGAAUGCUGGUAAAAAUCCUCUUCUAGCUGCAUAACCAAUAAAGCAUCUGCAAGAUACUACUUACCUACAUGACAUUACAAUCAUAACUAAUCUCCCAAUAUGCUGUGUAUUCAUACGUAAUAGAUAAGAGAAUCCAGCCUUAGAUUCUAACUUUGUGAUCAUGUAUGGCUUCUGCUUGUGCCCGUGAUGCUAUUGUUUCAUAUCUGUUUCCCAAUAGUCGAUAAACAGGAAACAAUGGAAGAGACCAUUCUCACUGGUGAUGAUCUCAUGCGUGAGCCACCAUCCCCUGCCAUACCAAAAGAAAUUGCCUCGCAUGUCCUUCAAGGUGUUGAGCCCUGUGAUGGUAUACUCAGGAAUCUUUUCUUAUGUGAGUUAACUGUUUCUGUGACAUUUAAAAUCGUGUUUCUCUUUCUCUGUGUGUGGAAGUAUUAUUGCAAAAAUAUUAUACGGCACAGGCCUGCAAAUCAAUGACAUCGAGCCUUUUUGCCAAGAUGAAAUUGUGUUUUACCGACAAUGUGCUGCAAAAAGGGACAAGGAAAUAAGAGAGAAGAUGGUAGACAGUGAAUAUAAACUGCGCAUUUCGAUGCCCCUGGAAGAAGGAAAGGAAAGAACUACUCAACUCCAAUUGGAAGUCACAUUGCUUGAAAGGCAUACGAGACAAUGAGUAGCACCAGGGACAAAGCCAAGCACACGUUAAAUUGCCUUGUGACCACUCUUCAGCACCGUAUAAAAUGAUUUACAGACUUUUGCUUUUAAGAACACUACCUAUUGCCUACAGACUUUUUUUCUAAUUGUAUUGAUUAGAUUAAACUGGACAAAAGAAAUCAUCAGGUGUACUGAGUUUUUGUUAAUAAUUCAUCGGCAUGAUUUCAUCAGUUCUGCUUGUAUGUAGUCUCGUACUUCUGUAGGCGCAUGAUUCUUGCUAGUGGGCUUGAGGGCAUGGAGGGAUUUCGCCAGAGAUGGAGCUUGCAUGGACAGCUCGAGGAUACGAGGAAAAGGAUGGAAGCACUGGUCCGUGGGAUGGAGAAGGGAGAAAGCCAAAAUUCUCAAGCGCAAGGGAGCUAAGAAGAGGUGGUUGUUUUGAGAUAAAUGGGCUUUUUGAUGGCCCAGUAACACUCGCUUCAGCUAUGGGCUGGUUCUUCAUUGGACUUGCAAGACCUCUGCAAAAUUAAAUGUGGCCUUUCCCUGAAGGCCCGCCUGUCCUUGUGUUCUUUUGCAAAUUGCAAUUGGGCCUUGGAAGAUUAUGUCGUCUCAAAAUAUACAAGGUUACGAAUUUGCUAUAUAUUUGUCGACAAAUUUUCCACCAAAAAUUUGACAGAUGUAAUUAUAAUACAAUCGUAGUGUAAUUACACUGUAACUAUAAUGUAACAUGUAUGUAACUUUCAAAAAUCUCUCCAUAACGUUUAGAG